AUUGAACGCUGGCGACAGGCCUAACACAUGCAAGUCGAGCGCGAAAGUCUUCGGAUGAGUAAAGCGGCGAACGGGUGAGUAAUGCAUGGGAAUCUGCCUGGUAGUGGGGGACAACGUCUCGAAAGGGACGCUAAUACCGCAUACGCCCUACGGGGGAAAGGGGGGGAUCUUCGGACCUCUCGCUAUCAGAUGAGCCCAUGUCAGAUUAGCUAGUUGGUGAGGUAAAGGCUCACCAAGGCGACGAUCUGUAACUGGUCUGAGAGGAUGAUCAGUCACACUGGAACUGAGACACGGUCCAGACUCCUACGGGAGGCAGCAGGUGGGGAAUAUUGGACAAUGGGGGCAACCCGUAGAUCCAGCCAUGCCGCGUGUGUGAAGAAGG
This 382-nucleotide ribosomal RNA is filed under the name uncultured bacterium. RNAcentral's name for it is "bacterial SSU rRNA". It matches the Rfam family "Bacterial small subunit ribosomal RNA", at positions 30 to 414 of the family's 1533-position model. The record is from RNAcentral.